RNAcentral lists this ribosomal RNA (2904 nucleotides) under Escherichia coli. RNAcentral describes it as "23S ribosomal RNA". It matches the Rfam family "Bacterial large subunit ribosomal RNA". The record is from RNAcentral. Lineage: Bacteria; Pseudomonadati; Pseudomonadota; Gammaproteobacteria; Enterobacterales; Enterobacteriaceae.
GGUUAAGCGACUAAGCGUACACGGUGGAUGCCCUGGCAGUCAGAGGCGAUGAAGGACGUGCUAAUCUGCGAUAAGCGUCGGUAAGGUGAUAUGAACCGUUAUAACCGGCGAUUUCCGAAUGGGGAAACCCAGUGUGUUUCGACACACUAUCAUUAACUGAAUCCAUAGGUUAAUGAGGCGAACCGGGGGAACUGAAACAUCUAAGUACCCCGAGGAAAAGAAAUCAACCGAGAUUCCCCCAGUAGCGGCGAGCGAACGGGGAGCAGCCCAGAGCCUGAAUCAGUGUGUGUGUUAGUGGAAGCGUCUGGAAAGGCGCGCGAUACAGGGUGACAGCCCCGUACACAAAAAUGCACAUGCUGUGAGCUCGAUGAGUAGGGCGGGACACGUGGUAUCCUGUCUGAAUAUGGGGGGACCAUCCUCCAAGGCUAAAUACUCCUGACUGACCGAUAGUGAACCAGUACCGUGAGGGAAAGGCGAAAAGAACCCCGGCGAGGGGAGUGAAAAAGAACCUGAAACCGUGUACGUACAAGCAGUGGGAGCCUCUUUUAUGGGGUGACUGCGUACCUUUUGUAUAAUGGGUCAGCGACUUAUAUUCUGUAGCAAGGUUAACCGAAUAGGGGAGCCGAAGGGAAACCGAGUCUUAACUGGGCGUUAAGUUGCAGGGUAUAGACCCGAAACCCGGUGAUCUAGCCAUGGGCAGGUUGAAGGUUGGGUAACACUAACUGGAGGACCGAACCGACUAAUGUUGAAAAAUUAGCGGAUGACUUGUGGCUGGGGGUGAAAGGCCAAUCAAACCGGGAGAUAGCUGGUUCUCCCCGAAAGCUAUUUAGGUAGCGCCUCGUGAAUUCAUCUCCGGGGGUAGAGCACUGUUUCGGCAAGGGGGUCAUCCCGACUUACCAACCCGAUGCAAACUGCGAAUACCGGAGAAUGUUAUCACGGGAGACACACGGCGGGUGCUAACGUCCGUCGUGAAGAGGGAAACAACCCAGACCGCCAGCUAAGGUCCCAAAGUCAUGGUUAAGUGGGAAACGAUGUGGGAAGGCCCAGACAGCCAGGAUGUUGGCUUAGAAGCAGCCAUCAUUUAAAGAAAGCGUAAUAGCUCACUGGUCGAGUCGGCCUGCGCGGAAGAUGUAACGGGGCUAAACCAUGCACCGAAGCUGCGGCAGCGACGCUGAUGCGUUGUUGGGUAGGGGAGCGUUCUGUAAGCCUGCGAAGGUGUGCUGUGAGGCAUGCUGGAGGUAUCAGAAGUGCGAAUGCUGACAUAAGUAACGAUAAAGCGGGUGAAAAGCCCGCUCGCCGGAAGACCAAGGGUUCCUGUCCAACGUUAAUCGGGGCAGGGUGAGUCGACCCCUAAGGCGAGGCCGAAAGGCGUAGUCGAUGGGAAACAGGUUAAUAUUCCUGUACUUGGUGUUACUGCGAAGGGGGGACGGAGAAGGCUAUGUUGGCCGGGCGACGGUUGUCCCGGUUUAAGCGUGUAGGCUGGUUUUCCAGGCAAAUCCGGAAAAUCAAGGCUGAGGCGUGAUGACGAGGCACUACGGUGCUGAAGCAACAAAUGCCCUGCUUCCAGGAAAAGCCUCUAAGCAUCAGGUAACAUCAAAUCGUACCCCAAACCGACACAGGUGGUCAGGUAGAGAAUACCAAGGCGCUUGAGAGAACUCGGGUGAAGGAACUAGGCAAAAUGGUGCCGUAACUUCGGGAGAAGGCACGCUGAUAUGUAGGUGAAGUCCCUCGCGGAUGGAGCUGAAAUCAGUCGAAGAUACCAGCUGGCUGCAACUGUUUAUUAAAAACACAGCACUGUGCAAACACGAAAGUGGACGUAUACGGUGUGACGCCUGCCCGGUGCCGGAAGGUUAAUUGAUGGGGUCAGCGCAAGCGAAGCUCUUGAUCGAAGCCCCGGUAAACGGCGGCCGUAACUAUAACGGUCCUAAGGUAGCGAAAUUCCUUGUCGGGUAAGUUCCGACCUGCACGAAUGGCGUAAUGAUGGCCAGGCUGUCUCCACCCGAGACUCAGUGAAAUUGAACUCGCUGUGAAGAUGCAGUGUACCCGCGGCAAGACGGAAAGACCCCGUGAACCUUUACUAUAGCUUGACACUGAACAUUGAGCCUUGAUGUGUAGGAUAGGUGGGAGGCUUGGAAGUGUGGACGCCAGUCUGCAUGGAGCCGACCUUGAAAUACCACCCUUUAAUGUUUGAUGUUCUAACGUUGACCCGUAAUCCGGGUUGCGGACAGUGUCUGGUGGGUAGUUUGACUGGGGCGGUCUCCUCCUAAAGAGUAACGGAGGAGCACGAAGGUUGGCUAAUCCUGGUCGGACAUCAGGAGGUUAGUGCAAUGGCAUAAGCCAGCUUGACUGCGAGCGUGACGGCGCGAGCAGGUGCGAAAGCAGGUCAUAGUGAUCCGGUGGUUCUGAAUGGAAGGGCCAUCGCUCAACGGAUAAAAGGUACUCCGGGGAUAACAGGCUGAUACCGCCCAAGAGUUCAUAUCGACGGCGGUGUUUGGCACCUCGAUGUCGGCUCAUCACAUCCUGGGGCUGAAGUAGGUCCCAAGGGUAUGGCUGUUCGCCAUUUAAAGUGGUACGCGAGCUGGGUUUAGAACGUCGUGAGACAGUUCGGUCCCUAUCUGCCGUGGGCGCUGGAGAACUGAGGGGGGCUGCUCCUAGUACGAGAGGACCGGAGUGGACGCAUCACUGGUGUUCGGGUUGUCAUGCCAAUGGCACUGCCCGGUAGCUAAAUGCGGAAGAGAUAAGUGCUGAAAGCAUCUAAGCACGAAACUUGCCCCGAGAUGAGUUCUCCCUGACUCCUUGAGAGUCCUGAAGGAACGUUGAAGACGACGACGUUGAUAGGCCGGGUGUGUAAGCGCAGCGAUGCGUUGAGCUAACCGGUACUAAUGAACCGUGAGGCUUAACCUU